This is a long non-coding RNA of Cyprinus carpio carpio, 600 nucleotides long. Lineage: Eukaryota; Metazoa; Chordata; Actinopteri; Cypriniformes; Cyprinidae. The record is from Ensembl.
GUAAGUAUAUUAUACGCAAAAUAACUUUAUGUGAGCAAAAUGUGUGGUGAAAUCAAGACAGAUUUACUAUUUGUCACAAUGACGUAAAUCUGCUAACAGUUACGCCGCGUCCACGCGCCAAAUUUAAACGGAAGCAGGAAAAAUGUUACAAAGCGACAGCGAGGAUUUGGCCGUUAAUAACGACUCAAAUUUCGUCCCUGGUCUCACACUGUUCUAUUGAGGAGAAAUGAAAAGCAGUUAGGACUUCUUCAAAAAAUCGUACUGUGUUCUCUACAGAAAAACCAUACUCGUCUUGAACGACACGGGGAAACAGAUUUGGAGAAAUUUAAUCCUUUGCAGUGAAUGGAUGCCUACCUUGUUUUUCUCAGCUUGAGGCAAUGGCCCUGGCCAUAAUCCAUCCUUGGUUGGAAGUGGUUGCGAAGACGUUGCUAUGUAGUUGCUAAGGUAGUAAUUGUUGGCACAUCACUAGAGUAGUCUGGCUGGUUGCUUGGUGGAUGCUUACCCAUUUACCCCCAAGUUUAUAUUAUUUUUUUGGUCUGCUAUAGAUGUGGCUUCUAGGGCUGCUCGAUUAUGACAAAAAUCAUAAUCACAAAUAUUUUG